UAGUUUUACUUUCCGUCUUACUUUUCAAAA
This 30-nucleotide non-coding RNA is filed under the name Rattus norvegicus (Norway rat). Lineage: Eukaryota; Metazoa; Chordata; Mammalia; Rodentia; Muridae. The record is from RNAcentral.